This 460-nucleotide ribosomal RNA is filed under the name uncultured bacterium. Its description in RNAcentral is "partial 16S ribosomal RNA". It matches the Rfam family "Bacterial small subunit ribosomal RNA", at positions 338 to 795 of the family's 1533-position model. The record is from RNAcentral.
CCUACGGGCGGCAGCAGUGAGGAAUAUUGGUCAAUGGGCGCAAGCCUGAACCAGCCAAGUCGCGUGAGGGAAUAAGGUCCUACGGGUUGUAAACCUCUUUUGUCGGGGAGCAAGGGCCGCCACGAGUGGCGGGACGGAGAGUACCCGGAGAAAAAGCAUCGGCUAACUCCGUGCCAGCAGCCGCGGUAAUACGGAGGAUGCGAGCGUUAUCCGGAUUUAUUGGGUUUAAAGGGUGCGUAGGCGGGAUGUUAAGUCAGCGGUCAAAUUUCGGUGCUCAACACCGGCCUGCCGUUGAAACUGGUGUUCUUGAGUGGGCGAGAAGAAGGCGGAAUGCGUGGUGUAGCGGUGAAAUGCAUAGAUAUCACGCAGAACUCCGAUUGCGAAGGCAGCAUACCGGCGCUGAUCUGACGCUGAGGCACGAAAGCGUGGGUAUCGAACAGGAUUAGAUACCCCAGUAGUC